Myiozetetes cayanensis is the source of this 150-nucleotide long non-coding RNA. RefSeq lists it as uncharacterized. NCBI's taxonomy places the organism in Eukaryota, Metazoa, Chordata, Aves, Passeriformes, Tyrannidae. The transcript is spliced from 3 exons. The record is from RefSeq and is a predicted model, not a curated record.
GGAUGAGCUCCGUAAUCAAGGUGUCUGUGGCAGAGGGAAGAGAUCUUACAAGCCAAGUUCAGAUCUCCCAGUCUCGUGGACAGAAGCAACUAAACUUUGACAGGUGACACCAGCGAACUUGGCAGCGAGCUGCAACUUUGAAGGCUCUUU